RNAcentral lists this ribosomal RNA (519 nucleotides) under Methylobacterium sp. RNAcentral's name for it is "bacterial SSU rRNA". It matches the Rfam family "Bacterial small subunit ribosomal RNA", at positions 61 to 627 of the family's 1533-position model. The record is from RNAcentral. Lineage: Bacteria; Pseudomonadati; Pseudomonadota; Alphaproteobacteria; Hyphomicrobiales; Methylobacteriaceae.
GUCGAGCGGGCCCUUCGGGGUCAGCGGCAGACGGGUGAGUAACACGUGGGAACGUACCCUUUGGUUCGGAAUAACGCUGGGAAACUAGCGCUAAUACCGGAUACGCCCUUUUGGGGAAAGGCUUGCUGCCGAAGGAUCGGCCCGCGUCUGAUUAGCUAGUUGGUGGGGUAAUGGCCUACCAAGGCGACGAUCAGUAGCUGGUCUGAGAGGAUGAUCAGCCACACUGGGACUGAGACACGGCCCAGACUCCUACGGGAGGCAGCAGUGGGGAAUAUUGGACAAUGGGCGCAAGCCUGAUCCAGCCAUGCCGCGUGAGUGAUGAAGGCCUUAGGGUUGUAAAGCUCUUUUGUCCGGGACGAUAAUGACGGUACCGGAAGAAUAAGCCCCGGCUAACUUCGUGCCAGCAGCCGCGGUAAUACGAAGGGGGCUAGCGUUGCUCGGAAUCACUGGGCGUAAAGGGCGCGUAGGCGGCCAUUCAAGUCGGGGGUGAAAGCCUGUGGCUCAACACAGAAUUGCCUU